RNAcentral lists this ribosomal RNA (481 nucleotides) under uncultured bacterium. Its description in RNAcentral is "partial 16S ribosomal RNA". It matches the Rfam family "Bacterial small subunit ribosomal RNA", at positions 28 to 507 of the family's 1533-position model. The record is from RNAcentral.
GAUGAACGCUGGCGGCGUGCUUAACACAUGCAAGUCGAACGAAGCAUUUGCGACAGAUUUUUUCGGAAUGAAGUUGCUUAUGACUGAGUGGCGGACGGGUGAGUAAAGCGUGGGUAACCUGCCUUGUACUGGGGGAUAGCAGCUGGAAACGGCUGGUAAUACCGCAUAAGCGCACAAUGUUGCAUGAUAUGGUGUGAAAAACUCCGGUGGUAUAAGAUGGAUCCGCGUCUGAUUAGCUAGUUGGUGAGAUAACAGCCCACCAAGGCGACGAUCAGUAGCCGACAGGAGAGGGUGACCGGCCACAUUGGGACUGAGACACGGCCCAGACUCCUACGGGAGGCAGCAGUGGGGAAUAUUGCACAAUGGAGGAAACUCUGAUGCAGCGACGCCGCGUGAGUGCAGAAGUACUUCGUGAUGUAAAGCUCUCUCAGCAGGGAAGAUAGUGACGGUACCUUACUAAGAAGCGCCGGCUAAAUACGCG